UCACGCUAUCAAGCAUAAACAUAGAGGACUCUGUUCUACACAUUUUGAGAGAAUGUGUUUCCACCGAGAUUCCGUAAAAAUUACAGAAAUGUGAUACAAGUGUGUUAGAAUCAAUAUAAAAUCAGACACCAUACCAACGAAUGACGCCGAUAUAUCUUUGGUUGGAUGAAAGGCUGUCAGACCGUGCAAAACGGAACAUUUUGGCGAAGCGGCUAUUUCAAAGAGGGAGCUUACGAAAAACGACUUUGUUCUGAGAAAAUCAGUUGAAAUGCUGGCUGCCUCUAGUUCAAGUAAAGCCCGAAAGUGCAAUAAUCACCCAAACAGUUUCUGCUACAUUUGUGGAAAAUAUAUUACAGUUUCACGAA
This is a long non-coding RNA of Limulus polyphemus (Atlantic horseshoe crab), 365 nucleotides long. RefSeq lists it as uncharacterized. Lineage: Eukaryota; Metazoa; Arthropoda; Merostomata; Xiphosura; Limulidae. The record is from RefSeq and is a predicted model, not a curated record. The transcript has 2 exons.